AUUUGCCCGGUCAAAAAGAGGGGUGUGCUAUAUUGUACAGCUCAUGUUUUACACAUGAUUGCAGACUUCAUGUGUCCACAAGUUCUAUUCUGUUCCAUAACCGUGUGGAUUUCACUUUAGAAGUUUCAAUGGAAACAUGACAACAGUUUCCAUUCUAGGUUGUGAGCAGCCUCUGCUGGCCAAACUGGGUUUGAGGCCAAUGGCCAUGUGCAAGCAGCGCUGGAAAGGAUCGGGACUGGGACCAACUACCAUCAAUCAGCCCAUUCACUCAUAGCAAAGCAGCAAAAUCUGACUUGUGUGUGUGUGUUGACCAGGGCUGGGGUGCAUUGUAGUUGCAUUGCAUGUGUGUGUACAUGGUGUGCAAUGCUCCUUCCAUGCAACACAGAGCUGUGUCGUGAUGACACUCUGUGUAAUUCAGUCUUUACAAUUGCGAGCAAGAAUGAAAUAAAGUCAAGGUCUGACAUUCUGAAA
Non-coding RNA from Salmo salar (Atlantic salmon), 471 nucleotides. Lineage: Eukaryota; Metazoa; Chordata; Actinopteri; Salmoniformes; Salmonidae. The record is from RefSeq and is a predicted model, not a curated record.